This is a long non-coding RNA of Oncorhynchus nerka (sockeye salmon), 3881 nucleotides long. RefSeq lists it as uncharacterized. The transcript is spliced from 6 exons. Lineage: Eukaryota; Metazoa; Chordata; Actinopteri; Salmoniformes; Salmonidae. The record is from RefSeq and is a predicted model, not a curated record.
UACUGUUUCAGGUGAUCAGUAGUGUGUGAGUUCUCACAUGGCUUGUUCUGAGAACAUGUUUUUUCUCAUUGUCCUCUUUAUAUCAGGUGUUUUGGCCUGUUUUGGUGAACGACAUUUGAUCGCCACAAUGCCAGAUAGACUGGAUGUACUGACGGGCUCCUGUAUGCAAAUCCAAUGUUCAUUUGAUAUUCCUGACCCACAUAAUACAUUUAACAGCACAAUACUAACCUCUGGAGUGUGGAUUAAAGAAUCCCCAUACUUUGGUGAGCGUCCGGACAAUGUGAUAUUUAACAGUACUUAGACGGUCAACAGAUAUCAAGGGAAGAUAACUGGAAACAUGUCCCAGAAGAACUGCACCACAGUCUUCUUCAAUGUAAUCACCAGAGAGUAAUAUGAUACGGCAUGUGUCAAAAUUGAUUGAUUGCUGACCUUAUGACCUGAUGACAUGUACAGAAUAUGUGCCCCCGCCCCGCCCCCCCUGUUCGUGUGGUCAUGUGUUAGAGGGUGUUUGAACUUUUGGGGCCCAUGCCCCCCCCCUCCACCCCCCCCAGUUUUAUCUCCCUUAUGGUUGUUAUCUAUGAAGCAGGAAUGUCUGGGGCUAUAGAUAGCGCUGGGGCCUCAGCAUUAUAAAUGUCCAGAACAAGCCAUUUUUAAGACCUGAAUAUUAAGCAUCUAAAAAUAUGUCUACAAGGGGAAUUCUCGGAGUGCUCUGUAGCUCAUGUCACGAACCCAACGCCAAAAGCUUGGAGGAUAUUUUGGUAGAGGUUCCCGAAUGUUUUAACGGAUUUCUGUGUACAAGCGAGGGCCAUAUUUCGUACAUAUUCAACCCGGAGGAAUCUACGGUUAAGAUAUUCACAGACAGCGUGUCUCAACCCUUUUAUCGUGCAGAACCCGAGCCUUUUUCUCUAGCGCUAAGGAUGCGAGAAUGGCUUAAAAUAAGGCUAGCUUUGUGUCAAAUGGAACGUGCCCUGAGUGCUUCAAGGCUGCCAGGAUAUGCGUUGGAAGAACAAGUCUGUGGACGUCAGGAUCUAAUGGCCCUGAGAGUCACAUCCAUGGGUUAUACCCCGGACUCCAGAGUGACAAUUUUAGCAUGUGAACAAUUUGACAGGUCAAAUGCUACGAAAACGGUCAGUCCAUAUGUAUCCUCCAAAGCAUGCAAGGAUGUAAAUUUUUUUCAAAUAAUGUUCAGUUUUAAAUGGCGCGAUUACCACAUUUUCCGAAUCCUGAUGAAUAAGCUGGACAGUCUUUUCGAAAAUCGUGAACAAUUACGGCGAUGGCCUAGGUUAUCGUUGAGACAUACCCCGGAACAACAUAGGUUAUCGUUGAGACAUACACCGGAACAACAACAAGUUCGAAGGCGGAUCUUUCCCUGGCAGGAAAGUGGACAGAGCUUCGACGGAGCGCGGAAAAGACUUUGUGAUGGGGAAUUGGAAACGGAUAAUGUUCAGGGCUAACAGGACCCCAUAUAUCUGAUCCCCGACAUUUACGCAGCUUUUACGCGAUUUACCUGAUCUGGAACAUGAUGGGGGUUCGCAGGAGCAAAAGUCUGGCAGACAAUCACCAACGGCCUUUUUUCGUUCCGACAUACAGCCCUUUAUGAUAAAGGAUGCGUUAUGGACAGCUGACACGCAGGACUUUGAUGCAAUUCUACCGUUCACUGUGGCCCAAGUACACUGCUCAGAAUCAAGCCCACCCGAAAACUACUGUUGGGCCGGGAACUUGCUGCUUCACGAGCCGGCGCUCCAGGGACAAGACUGCCCGGAGACAGACCCAGCAGAAUCUGGAACGCUAGAGGGAAAAAGUCACACACCCCCGGUUUCGGCGAUUCGUCACAACAAGCGCCAAAAAAGCAGAGACUCCGCACCGGCGAAAAACGGCACAGACGACCACAUAAAUCUAGAGCUGGGGGAUUCCGGCGCCCCGAGCAUUCCGAAUGAAACACCCAAGAGACCUGUUUUUAAUGACAUGUCAGAUGUUGAUGACCAGCUAUUCUGUGAUGCGGCCAACCUUAUAGACCCAGUCAAUUCUACGGCCUCAAUACCUGCAGCCGAACAAGAAAGGUUUUUCACAUUAUUUUCCAGGGCUUUGAAAUCGAGGAAUGUUUUGCUAUACAAACGACUGGGGGAUUUAAUUGAGAGACAGUACAGAGACGAUAUGUUAUUCUGGCAUAGAACAAUUCCACGCAUGUUAAACAGCAACCCCAUUAAAAAACGCAAAUACAGACGCUAAAAUCAUACAUGUAACACCAACCAUUACAGAAAGAAAAAAACGAACACUCUUAAUUAUCCAAAAAUGGCAGAACUAACGCAACACGGGGAGACAGUUGAAAGCCUCUUAUCCCAGAUUCCAGACGAACUCCUAGAAGUUAUAAGACGUAUGAACGAUUCAGGAACGUUAGAUGAAAGCAUAUUAACACAGAUUCCAGCCGAACUCUUAGAAAUGAUUAAUCGUAUGAACCAGUCAGGGGGGGUUGAGGAAAACAUGUUAUCCCAGAUUCCCGAAGCCCUCAUAACCUUAAUUAAUCGUAUGAACGCGAGUCAGACAAUUUCGGCCCCGACAACCCCGACAGCGAUAUGACAACCCGUAACGCCUAGGUCCGUAGAGUCUGAAACGCCACAAGAUGUUUUUGGGGAAUUGGACAAUUAUCUAAUAAAUCUGGCUGCAGAUGUUCAUGAUAGACGUGUCAGGGUUGUGUACAGGAAUAAAUUCAACAAUACAGAGAUUCGACAAUUUUUCAAUUUCCUAUGUGUGAAUCAGAAUCUUGACUAUGCUGUAUUUUACAUGAUGAUAAUGGACACUCUGAAUGACCUGUUAGAAACAGCAAGAGAUUAUGGCGAACCUCGUGAUGUCUUACAGUUGGAAAUAUGUGGAGAUAGCCUGCAUAAUUCAGUAUCUCUUAUUUUACCCAAUGGCGAAGCAGAUCUUGAACAAUUUACAGCGCUGGUAGAACGCCUUGUUCAGUCAAAUUUAGCCAUCAUAGCCGAUCGAACCCUAGAGCUUGUAGUGCAAAUAAUACGUCAACCACAGGGGGGCGGUGGGCAGAGAAGGAAGCUUGAUAGCCUAAUGCAGUCAGAAAUCAUAAGCAAUAAAAGGGCCUACCUCAUAAACGUUCACAAUCCCGAUAAUAAGCUAUGUUUUGCAAUAGGCCUAGCGCAUUUACUUAACCCCGGAUGUACUGAUCUGACGGCAUUGCAAAAGGCUAGAGAGAUCCAAACGGCGGUGGGUCUCGGGAUCCAUGAAGGCGUGGCAUUCUCAGACAUUGUCAAAUUUGAAAACCUUCUGAAUAUCAAGAUUGUGGUUUUGUACCACAGUAGAGCUAAUGCAGCUCUCUUGAAGUUCCAAAACACCCCCAACCGCACCCCCAGAUUCUGUACUUUUAUGUGCAAAACGAACAUUACUAUGCCGUUACAAACGUCACGGCGUUCCUAGGGGCAACCUAUGUGUGUAGAUCCUGCCAUACCGGCUACAGCCGAAAGGGGGGGCACUCGUGCCGUUAUAACUGUUCUGUAUGUCAGGAUGCCGAGUGCCCUAUGCAGACCCUAAACUUGACACCAUGUGAGGAUUGCCAUCGCACAUGUCGUUCGACCUACUGUUACGAUAAACACAAAAUUGAAACAUGGCACCCUAAGGCCUGUAAAUCUGUAAGCAUUUGUGCCAUUAACAAGAAAUGCCCAAAAUGUCAUUGCAAUUACAGCCUUAAAAUAGAUAGCCCUAAACCACAUGUUUGUGGAAUCCUACAGUGUCCAAUCUGUAAAGGGGGUAUGAAAAGCAGAAAUGCUGAAGUGGUUCAAGAAGUGCCACACGAGUGUUAUAUUCAGCCCUUGGCUGAAGAUGAACCUUCAGAGAAAUAUGUGUUCUAUGAUUUUGAGACAAAUCAACAA